This is a long non-coding RNA of Pezoporus occidentalis (night parrot), 776 nucleotides long. RefSeq lists it as uncharacterized. NCBI's taxonomy places the organism in Eukaryota, Metazoa, Chordata, Aves, Psittaciformes, Psittacidae. The transcript has 3 exons. The record is from RefSeq and is a predicted model, not a curated record.
UACGUGGGGUUAAGAGUACAAUAAAACAUUGCCAGCUCUGGUUGGCUCAGCAGCUUGUGUGCAUUACACCAAGCCCAGAACCAUCAAGCACGCUAUCAGGGAAGCGAAGGGAGAAUGAGAAAAUACACGGUUUGGGAGCUCCCCGUGCCCAUACCAUGGCAUAACCCCUUGCAAUACUGCAGUGGGCUUACCUGCUCCAGGCUGGAAAGGGCUAAAAAGAGCAUCUGUGCCAAGGAUUAGGAAAGGUUUUCUGAAGCCAAGAGUUACUCCACCUUUUCAAUUUAUUUGUAAGUAGAGCUGCAGCUUAGUUGCACCGCCAUAGGAUGAACCUCUGGUAUACAGUACCGCUUCUUCAAAAACAAUGUUCAUGAACAUGGACAGAAGACAUGAAGAGUCUGCAUGGUGUCGUGCAAGUCUGCAAAGAAUGGGAUAGGACUGCAUUUGGCCAUCAUGCCCAGGAACAUAACAUAUCAACCAACUCCAUCCACCACCAGAAAACCAACAAAUCCUCCCAACGACUGGCUACACAAUGUGACAAACCCAUUUACUUAUACAGACUUCUAAGGUACCACAGACCAAGCACACCAGUCUUCAUGGCCAGGCAUGCUAUGUUCCAAGUUCCACUCUUACCAUUUACAAUCUUGUCAGCUUUGAGGGCUGAUAUUUGCUGCAUUUUAGUCUGCGUAUUACAAUGGGGUGCUAGAAAAGCAACACAACCUGCUUCUGCAUGUGAAGAACAAAGGACAGAGUAUUUCUUAGUCCAUUUCCUCUACAUC